CAUGUUGUUUGGUAGCAACCCAGAUGCAUGCAAUGCAAUGGUGACGACGAAAACAACCUCUCUCUUUUUUUAAAUCAAAUCCUUAUCUUAAAAAAAGCAUAUGCUUCAUAUUUCUUUGUGGAGUUUUGCUCAAGGAGAACCAAUGCAAGAGUCGCCGUGAGAUGGAUUUGCAGAUUGCUGACAAAUUAUCCUAAGAUCACACCCCUUCUCAAGUGCGCCUAGUUUUUCCACUACCGAAGCAAGAAGAAUCCAAGGACACGACAGAGUUGGAGGUCCAUCGGAGAAAAACAUUAAAGAUCGUGACAUCGUAUUCGUAUGUACUCACUAGUCCACCAUGAUGGGACAAAGUGAGAGAGAAGAGAACUCAGCACUUGCCUCCAACGACGGAUUCACUAUCGGCACAACUUUCGUCGAGCAGCAACACAAGUCAGAGCACACCGUCGCAUGAAGUCACAUCAAUAGUUACAAUCCACCCGAAAUCUUUUUACAAUCUCCCGUGAAAAAAAAAGUUGCCCUGCAAGAAAAUCCAAUCCAAUCCGCCAAUUGUCUACUACUUAGAGACAUCCCUAUAUUAACUACUCCAUCCAUUUCAAACUAUGGGCCGUUUUAGCUUUUCUAGAUGGAUAAAAUUUUCUAUGUAUCUAGACAUGUUUGUAU
RNAcentral lists this long non-coding RNA (657 nucleotides) under Setaria viridis. RNAcentral's name for it is "long non-coding RNA (SVIR_LNC008304)". Lineage: Eukaryota; Viridiplantae; Streptophyta; Magnoliopsida; Poales; Poaceae. The record is from RNAcentral.